This 894-nucleotide ribosomal RNA is filed under the name uncultured bacterium. RNAcentral describes it as "bacterial SSU rRNA". It matches the Rfam family "Bacterial small subunit ribosomal RNA", at positions 8 to 916 of the family's 1533-position model. The record is from RNAcentral.
AGAGUUUGAUCCUGGCUCAGGACGAACGCUGGCGGCGUGCCUAACACAUGCAAGUCGAGCGGGGAGAUGCCUUCGGGUGUCUUCUAGCGGCGGACGGGUGAGUAACGCGUGAGCAACCUUUCCUUCACAGGGGGAUAACGCAGCGAAAGCUGUGCUAAUACCGCAUAAGACCACGGGACUGCAUGGUUCUGAGGUCAAAGGAGCAAUCCAGUGAAGGGUGGGCUCGCGUCUGAUUAGCUAGUUGGUGAGGUAACGGCCCACCAAGGCAACGAUCAGUAGCCGACCUGAGAGGGUGAUCGGCCACACUGGGACUGAGACACGGCCCAGACUCCUACGGGAGGCAGCAGUGGGGAAUAUUGGGCAAUGGGCGAAAGCCUGACCCAGCAACGCCGCGUGAGGGAAGAAGGUUUUCGGAUCGUAAACCUCUGUCCUUGGUGAAGAGAAAAAGACGGUAGCCAAGGAGGAAGCCCCGGCUAACUACGUGCCAGCAGCCGCGGUAAUACGUAGGGGGCAAGCGUUGUCCGGAAUGAUUGGGCGUAAAGGGCGCGUAGGCGGCCUGUUAAGUCUGGAGUGAAAGUCCCGUUUUUAAGGUGGGAAUUGCUUUGGAUACUGGCGGGCUGGAGUGCAGGAGAGGUUAGCGGAAUUCCCGGUGUAGCGGUGAAAUGCGUAGAGAUCGGGAGGAACACCAGUGGCGAAGGCGGCUAACUGGACUGUAACUGACGCUGAAGCGCGAAAGUGUGGGGAGCAAACAGGAUUAGAUACCCUGGUAGUCCACACGGUAAACGAUGAAUGCUAGGUGUAGGGGGUAUCGACCCCUUCUGUGCCGGAGUAAACACAAUAAGCAUUCCGCCUGGGGAGUACGGCCGCAAGGUUGAAACUCAAAUGAAUUGACGG